GACGAACGCUGGCGGCGUGCUUAACACAUGCAAGUCGAACGGUAAGGCCCUUCGGGGUACACGAGUGGCGAACGGGUGAGUAACACGUGGGUGAUCUGCCCUGCACUUCGGGAUAAGCCUGGGAAACUGGGUCUAAUACCGGAUAGGACCACUGCCUGCAUGGGUGGUGGUGGAAAGCUUUUGCGGUGUGGGAUGGGCCCGCGGCCUAUCAGCUUGUUGGUGGGGUGAUGGCCUACCAAGGCGACGACGGGUAGCCGGCCGGAGAGGGUGACAGGCCACACUGGGACUGGGAUACGGCCCAGACUCCUACGGGAGGCAGCAGUGGGGAAGAUUGCACAAUGGGCGCAAGCCUGAUGCAGCGACGCCGCGUGAGGGAUGACGGCCUUCGGGUUGUAAACCUCCUUCAGCACCGACGAAGCGCAAGUGACGGUAGGUGCAGAAGAAGGACCGGCCAACUACGUGCCAGCAGCCGCCGCGG
Molecule: ribosomal RNA, 478 nt
Filed under: uncultured bacterium
Lineage: Bacteria
Description: partial 16S ribosomal RNA
Rfam family: Bacterial small subunit ribosomal RNA
Source: RNAcentral